GUGUCCGUAGUGUAGUGGCCUGCAUUUCGGGUUGUGGCCCCGAAGGUACCGGAUCGAUACCGGUCGGAUACCCCA
This 75-nucleotide transfer RNA is filed under the name Candidatus Proximibacter danicus. RNAcentral describes it as "tRNA-His". It matches the Rfam family "tRNA". From Rfam's summary of the family: Transfer RNA (tRNA) molecules are approximately 80 nucleotides in length. Their secondary structure includes four short double-helical elements and three loops (D, anti-codon, and T loops). Lineage: Bacteria; Pseudomonadati; Pseudomonadota; Betaproteobacteria. The record is from RNAcentral.